RNAcentral lists this small nuclear RNA (293 nucleotides) under Sorex araneus (European shrew). RNAcentral describes it as "7SK RNA (ENSSARG00000017828.1)". It matches the Rfam family "7SK RNA". From Rfam's summary of the family: 7SK was discovered as an abundant small nuclear RNA in the mid-70s but a possible function has only recently been suggested. Lineage: Eukaryota; Metazoa; Chordata; Mammalia; Eulipotyphla; Soricidae. The record is from RNAcentral.
GCUCUGGGUGAUCUGGCUGUGACAUCUGUGACCCCAUUGAUUGCCAGAGUUGAUUCGGCUGAUCUGGCUGGCUAGGCGCGUGUCCCCUUCCUCCCUCACUGCUCCAUGUGCCUCCCUCCCAAAGCUGUGCGCUCAGUCGAAGAGGACGGCCUUCCCCGAAUAGAGACGAACCGGUCUUCGGUCCAGGGUAUAGGAGUAGCUGCACUCCCCUUCUAGAACCUCCAAAAGUCUGUAAAAAAAUUAAAAACCAAAAAAAGACAAAUUACUUCCACUCUACUUGUUGGGUAACCAGU